Molecule: unclassified non-coding RNA, 633 nt
Filed under: Hevea brasiliensis (rubber tree)
Lineage: Eukaryota; Viridiplantae; Streptophyta; Magnoliopsida; Malpighiales; Euphorbiaceae
Source: RNAcentral
CCAAGAUUGGGAGGAGAUGCCAUGGAGUAGGCAGAGGUUUCAGGCUAAAACCAAAAAGAUUUUCAAUUCAAAGGUUACGCACCAGGUUCUUCUACUUGUUCAAACUCUUGAGUAGUGAGUAGAUGGAAAUCUUCAUAUGGCCAUGCUCUACAAUCUUUAAAGAGAGGUAUGAGUAGAAAUGAUUAUAGUAUCAAGAGAAACAGAAGCAGCAACAGCAGGAGGAGUUUAGUGGUGGAUGUUUCCGGCCACAACUCCGAUCGAGGCGACUGCAGAAUGAGAACGUUCGGUCGCUCUAAUUCUUUUUACUCUGAAGCCAUUGCAGAUUGUUUGGAGUUCAUCAAGAGGUCCUCUCUUUCUGUGGAGCAGAAACAACUCUGCCCAAGACAAGGCAUAUAUUAAUUUCCAUUAAUUAUAUUUAUCAAUAGUAGUUUGAUGAUUUUUGUAUAAAAGGGUAUUUGCUGUCUGUUUUUGGGUUUCAACCAUACAUUUUGUUAGUAUUACUAGAGUUUUGCUUGCCUCCAAUCCUUGGAGAGUGCUUGGAAACUUGAUCCUUAUGUUCUUUCUCGAGAAAAUCCAUGGCAGGAUGACAUAUGUACACAUUACAGAGAAAGAACAUAAGGAUCAAGUUUCCAA